AUGAAUAAGAGGUCCUGCCUGCCCGGUGACCAUGUAGUUCAACGGCCGCGGUAUUUUGACCGUGCAAAGGUAGCGAAAUCACUUGUCUUUUAAAUGAAGACCGGUAUGAACGGCAACACGAGGGCUUGACUGUCUCCCCUUUCAAGUCAAUGAAAUUGAUCUUCCCGUGCAGAAGCGGGAAUUCUUCCAUAAGACGAGAAGACCCUAUGGAGCUUUAGACACCAAGGCAGGCCAUGUCAAAACUCCCUUAUAAAGGACUAAACUAGUGUUCCCUGAUCCUGAUGUCUUUGGUUGGGGCGACCGCGGGGAAGCACAUAACCCCCGCGUGGACUGGAAGCACCCUUUUUGCUCCUACAAACAAGAGCUCCCACUCUAAUGAACAGAACUUCUGACCAACAAGAUCCGGCAACGCCGAUCAACGAACCGAGUUACCCUAGGGAUAACAGCGCAAUCCUCUCUUAGAGCCCAUAUCGACGAGGGGGUUUACGACCUCGAUGUUGGAUCAGGACAUCCUAAUGGUGCAGCCGCUAUUAAGGGUUCGUUUGUUCAACGAUUAAAGUCCUACGUGA
This 569-nucleotide ribosomal RNA is filed under the name Menticirrhus elongatus (Pacific kingcroaker). Its description in RNAcentral is "partial 16S ribosomal RNA". It matches the Rfam family "Bacterial large subunit ribosomal RNA", at positions 1841 to 2603 of the family's 2925-position model. Lineage: Eukaryota; Metazoa; Chordata; Actinopteri; Sciaenidae. The record is from RNAcentral.